RNAcentral lists this transfer RNA (69 nucleotides) under Ictidomys tridecemlineatus (thirteen-lined ground squirrel). RNAcentral describes it as "Spermophilus tridecemlineatus (thirteen-lined ground squirrel) tRNA". It matches the Rfam family "tRNA". Rfam says of the family: Transfer RNA (tRNA) molecules are approximately 80 nucleotides in length. Lineage: Eukaryota; Metazoa; Chordata; Mammalia; Rodentia; Sciuridae. The record is from Rfam by way of RNAcentral.
GGGGUUGUAGCUCAGUGGUAGAGUGCUUGCCUGGCAAGUGUGAGGCAUUUGGUUCAAUCCUCAGCACCA